RNAcentral lists this ribosomal RNA (404 nucleotides) under Verrucomicrobiota bacterium. RNAcentral's name for it is "Verrucomicrobia bacterium partial 16S ribosomal RNA". It matches the Rfam family "Bacterial small subunit ribosomal RNA", at positions 355 to 776 of the family's 1533-position model. Lineage: Bacteria; Pseudomonadati; Verrucomicrobiota. The record is from RNAcentral. RNAcentral also lists the same sequence under 1 other name.
UGGGGAAUAUUGCACAAUGGAGGGAACUCUGAUGCAGCGACGCCGCGUGAGUGAUGAAGGACUUCGUUUCGUAAAACUCUGUUCUAUGGGAAGAAAAGGACUGUACCAUAGGAGAAAGCUCCGGCUAAAUACGUGCCAGCAGCCGCGGUAAUACGUAUGGAGCGAGCGUUGUCCGGAAUUAUUGGGCGUAAAGGGUGCGCAGGCGGCUUUACAAGUUGGAUGUGAAAUAUUGUGGCUCAACCACAAACGUGCAUCCAAAACUGCAAAGCUUGAGUUAAGGAGAGGUAAGUGGAAUUCCUGGUGUAGCGGUGGAAUGCGUAGAUAUCAGGAGGAAUACCGGUGGCGAAGGCGACUUACUGGACUUAAACUGACGCUCAGGCACGAAAGCGUGGGGAGCAAACAGG